UACGAAGGGUGCAAACGUUGCUCGGAAUCAUUGGGCGUAAAGCGCACGUAGGCGGCCUUGCAAGUCGGAUGUGAAAUCCCACGGCUCAACCGUGGACGUGCAUCCGAAACUGCUCGGCUCGAGUAUGGAAGAGGGUCGCGGAAUUCCAGGUGUAGCGGUGAAAUGCGUAGAUAUCUGGAGGAACACCGGUGGCGAAGGCGGCAUCCUGGACCAACACUGACACUGAGGAGCGAAAGCCAGGGGAGCAAACGGG
RNAcentral lists this ribosomal RNA (253 nucleotides) under uncultured bacterium. Its description in RNAcentral is "partial 16S ribosomal RNA". It matches the Rfam family "Bacterial small subunit ribosomal RNA", at positions 524 to 776 of the family's 1533-position model. The record is from RNAcentral.